RNAcentral lists this long non-coding RNA (2308 nucleotides) under Coffea arabica (coffee). RNAcentral's name for it is "long non-coding RNA (CARA_LNC007639)". Lineage: Eukaryota; Viridiplantae; Streptophyta; Magnoliopsida; Gentianales; Rubiaceae. The record is from RNAcentral.
GAAUACAUGUUUAUGGGAUGUCGUUCAUCUACUGACUCUGUUUCGGUUAGUAUAAAACGGACAUGACUGUUGCUUUUAUUUGGAUGUUUCUAACAGCAUAAAUAGUUACAUUGAUCUUACAUUGUGUAAUAAUGUUGUUACGGCUGUCAUCCCUCAUGAUAUACCUAUUUUGUUUGUCUUAUACAAUGAUUUGGUCCAUACGAAACUCGUAGACGCAUUCAAUGAGCCAGACAGUGAAUGGCCCUCCAAACGCUAUUGCUCCGAAUAUCGAUGAAAGUGAAAUGGUAUGUAUAUAUUCAGUAGUUAAAAUAAAGACCUUCUUAUUCGUGUAGUAGAGCUACCUUUUUUUUAGGGUUAAUAUCAGAAACCUCCCUUGAGAUUUCUUCUAAUCACACCUAGAACCCCUCAUGUUUUCGAAAUCACACUUAGCACCCCUGGAAUGACAACUUUGGUAUCAUUGUCCGCCCCUCAUUAUUUUUGUUCCACUUUUAUCCUCCUUAUGAACUCUAUUUAUGUAACUCACAUCCCUCCACGCAAAGGUAACACUACAAAAUCGUUCUUAAGCAGUGUAACAUAUUUUGAACAUUUUGUAAUUUUAUGUAAGCUUGUUGUACAUCUUUAUAAUAGAUUGCAUUUCUGUUAUUAAGUUUUACAAAUAAUUCACAUAAAGUUGUACAUUGUUUAAAAAAUGUUACAUUGAUCUGAACGGUGAUAAAAAAAAUGUGACUAUGGAUUGUCAUAAUGGCAGCAAUAGUUUCAUUAUGUGAUUGUAGUUGUAAAUCAACUUGCUCUUCCAUUUUUAUGAAAAUGAGGUCGUAUAAAUAGUUUUUUGUGCAUUCUAGUCGAAUGGAGUUUGUAAGUUAUUAAUGUUGCGAUACCCUAUUAUCAAGUAAAAAUGGAUUGCUAAUGUUAUAUACUCAUGAAUUUCCAUCAUCUUUAAACUACUUUUAGAUUAUGUUAUUAUUCACUUAGAAAUUGCAAUUUUGGCAAUGGCACUAUAUCCAUUGCCAAAAGUCAACGUCACUGGAAACUCUAUAGCUAUUUAAUAUUAGGGAGUGGGAUAAGAACAAUUGUUAGAUCAACCAUCCCUAAAUCGUGUAAUAUUUUUUGAACAUUUUGUAAUUUUAUGUAAAUUUCUUGUACAUCGUUACAAUAGAAGUCUGAUAAGUUGUUAUUGUACAUAUGAGUCCAAUAUGUAAUAAUCGUAUUUGUGUUGAUAAAUUUUACAAAUAGUUCAAUUAGAAUUACACUUUGUACAAAAAAUAUUACAUAAUUACAUAAUAGUUUUACAUCAUUUAGGGAAAAUCUCAAGGGAGGUUUCCGAAAUUAACUCUACAUAAAUAGAGUUCACAAGGAGGGUAAAAGUGGAACAAAAAUAAUGAGGGGCGGACAAUGAUACCAAAGUUGUCAUUCCAGGGGUGCUAUGUGUGAUUUCGAAAACAUGAGGGGGUUGUAGGUGUGAUUAGAAGAAACCUCAAGGGAGGUUUCUGAGAUUAACCCUUUUUUUAUAGUAUUGUAAUGGGGAUACGGGGCAGGAGCGGUUCUCUCCUUGUAAUGGUGGGCACCCGAAAGCUGUCAAAUCAUGCCUAAUUGUGUAGUUAACGUAUGCUCGCUUUAAUAACAUAUUAUUUUUUAUUAUUCGAAGGUUCACCGUUUGGCUAAUCAGGGACCUCCUACAAGUGUCCCUACAGAAUAGAUGCAUCCCAAAUUUUCUAUUUUGUUCAAGUAUAACUCUGUUAGAGAUGUCUUAAUGGUCCGAUAUAUCAUUUUCAUUAUAAUGUCUAGUCCAAUUUAACUUUAUAAGUGAGCAAUAUUGGCAUUGGUAAUGAUUUGUUGACAGUCGAUUACUUAUACUAUGUAAUGUAGGAGGAGCGUGCAGCACUUUUAACACACUGUGAUGUUGAUGCAUAUCAUGUAUUUGCACCUUCACCCCAGGUGAUAAACUUUUAUCGUUGCAACACAUAUUUAUGUACUGUUGUUAAUUGGAGACUUGGACAUCGUAUAUCAUUAAUCGUAUGUUUCAUUGAUAAUAUUGCUGAUUCACCAUCGUUACGCAUUUCAGGGAAGAAAUAACACCCAGGGAUUGCAACUUCACGUUGACGUCGCCUCCCCCGAUAAUGAGAUUGAUGAAUGAUGUGUAACUAUAUUUUUUGAACGAGACAUUAAGUGGUUGUCCCAACUUAGGAAUACUGCAUAUGUACGUGUUACAAGCAGUUAAUAGGGUGUUAUAACUUAUUGACGAGGUUGUACAGGCACCAUUGAUAUUUCACUUUUUCAAAUUUAGACAAGUGGAUUACAAUUGUAAUCA